UACAGAGGUCUCAAGCGUUGUUCGGAUUCAUUGGGCGUAAAGGGCGUGUAGGCGGCCAACUAAGUCCGACGUGAAAUCCCCAGGCUUAACCUGGGAACUGCGUCGGAUACUGGAUGGCUUGAAUCCGGGAGAGGGAUGCAGAAUUCCAGGUGUAGCGGUGAAAUGCGUAGAUAUCUGGAGGAAUACCGGUGGCGAAGGCGGCAUCCUGGACCGGCAUUGACACUGAAGCGCGAAAGCUAGGGGAGCAAACGGG
RNAcentral lists this ribosomal RNA (253 nucleotides) under uncultured bacterium. Its description in RNAcentral is "partial 16S ribosomal RNA". It matches the Rfam family "Bacterial small subunit ribosomal RNA", at positions 524 to 776 of the family's 1533-position model. The record is from RNAcentral.